AUAAAUAAAAGUAAUCGGUCGAGUUAAAAUAUUCAAAAGUCCAAGUAAAUGGGAAAAAUGAUCUUCAAAUACCUUUUAACGUCAUUUUUGUAAAUAAUAAAGACAACAUUUUUUUUUUAUUAAUUCAAUGCAUGUUUGGAAAUGAAUUAAUACUUAUAUUCUACUCUUAAUAUAUACCGGUAUAGGUUACCGUUUCAAACGUAACUCAUCAAUAAAGGCAAAAAGAUAUCUUCGAUCCUUAGCUCGAUAUUCUCUGUUAGCAGAUAUUCUCUGUUAAGAUUUCUUUUAAAUACUGGCAACAAUGAUGCUAAUACUG
Molecule: long non-coding RNA, 316 nt
Organism: Glossina fuscipes
Lineage: Eukaryota; Metazoa; Arthropoda; Insecta; Diptera; Glossinidae
Exons: 2
Source: RefSeq, a predicted model, not a curated record